ACCCAAAUCGUUUGGGAGUCUUGUUAAAAUGCACAUUCUGACUCUCUGGGUCUGAGGUAGAGCCCAGAAUUCUGCAUUUUUAACAAUUCCCAGAUGGUGCUGAU
This 104-nucleotide microRNA precursor is filed under the name Marmota monax (woodchuck). The record is from RNAcentral. Lineage: Eukaryota; Metazoa; Chordata; Mammalia; Rodentia; Sciuridae.